RNAcentral lists this long non-coding RNA (493 nucleotides) under Equus asinus (donkey). RNAcentral describes it as "lncRNA (ENSEASG00005027766.1)". Lineage: Eukaryota; Metazoa; Chordata; Mammalia; Perissodactyla; Equidae. The record is from RNAcentral.
CCACCCUGCACCCCCACCUAUGUGUACCUGGCAGGGCAGCCUCUGCAAGGCUUGUCACCCAAACCACUGGAAGGUGGUGAUUCUGGGCAUUAGUGGGACACGAUCUGCAAAGACUCCCAGGGAAAGGGAAAGUCAGUUCAACAUGCUGAGGGCAGCAUUUGCCAAGACCCGAAAACAAGAACAAACAGCCUUAAGAUAAAGAUGGAACUUCUCUCAACAUUGACAUUUCCAUAAGGACCAACAAAGUGAAGGAAGCAUUUAAAGUCAUGGAAAAGACUUCACCUCUCUGGGUCACUACUACAUCCUCAGUGCCGGAAAUAACGCUUUCUACAUAGCAGAUGUUCAAUAAAUAUUUGAUGCAUAAAUGAACGGGUAGAACACAAGCUGGUGCAUAUACAUAGAAUUAGACUUUUCCUUUCUUCCUCCUGCCCGCUUUAGAAGAAGAUAUGAUACUGUAUAUAUUAUUUUACAAUUUGAUUUUUUUCCACUAUAG